AGUUAAUGAGCUUGAAUAAGCUUAUGUUUUGAAAACAUAAUAUAAAUAUAUUAAUUAUUUAUUAACUU
Molecule: transfer RNA, 68 nt
Filed under: Brachytarsina amboinensis
Lineage: Eukaryota; Metazoa; Arthropoda; Insecta; Diptera; Streblidae
Description: tRNA-Ser
Source: RNAcentral